Molecule: unclassified non-coding RNA, 1577 nt
Filed under: Hevea brasiliensis (rubber tree)
Lineage: Eukaryota; Viridiplantae; Streptophyta; Magnoliopsida; Malpighiales; Euphorbiaceae
Source: RNAcentral
CGAGUUUUGCUAUUAUUACAAUUUACAUGAACGAGUGAUGCGUAUUCUACUUAACUAGAACAAGAGAUCUCCUCAGGAAUACCAUUGUCUCAACCAAAGUUAGAGACAAUAGACAGAAUAAGCAAACAAAGAUUUAAAAAACCAACCAAAAUAUGAUAAUAAAACCAAUGAAUUAUUGCUUAGUAGUACUAACGUGGUCUCUAUAGCUAUAAAAUCUCAAAUUCAAGUCUCACCAAAUAUCCCAAUGAAUUUCAAAGCCACAACAUAAUAUUAAUCUCACAAAAGAAUUUCAGCAUCAAGAAAUCAACACAUCUGAAGUUAGAACAACACUCACUUUUGACGUGGAAGCUCACGAGGUUUCGAUUUCAGCCAUGUUGGAGGAGGCCAGAAAAUCUUAGAAUAGCCAGGAAACUUAGCCAAAGGACCAUAAGUACCAUCCUCCAAGGAAAAAAAUACCAGCAUCAAACGCAGGGUGAUCAUCAUUUUCUUCAUAGAAUGAAUAAUCAUGAUAAUAGACGCAAUUCUUCUUGCACCCAUGAAAACCUUUCUCUAAAACAGAGAACGAGACAUCAUCACCAACAAACAGCACACGAUUAUCCAAUCCUUCCAUCUGAACCCAGUCAUGCUUCUCUUCGUCCAGCUUGUAGACUAUCAUUGGAACAGGACAGUUAUCAUCAGAAUCCGACGAAUAAACACAAAGGUCAAAAUCAUCAAGACGGUACUUAUCAAUCCGCAACAGAUCCCCAAAUCCUGACCACCAUAUCCAUAGCAAGAGCCAUACAUUACAGGAGAAAAUUCGGUAAGUUUCAAUGUAGCAGGAUCAACUGACAAAACCAAUCCAGUGAAAUCAAGAGCAUAAAAUUUCCCCUUAUGAUAAACAAUAUCAAAAUAAUGAGAUCGCUCGCGAUUAUCAUUGAUAUUGUGCCAUUCCGUGUCUCCCAUCCUCCAUACCCCCAAUUUUCCAGCAGUAUGCAACGCCAUUAUCGCAAAACCAUCUCCAAUCUUAUCUAAAUUCGAAGAAGUAACAACUUUCUUGAUCAUAGUAGUAGACUUGAGUUCAUUAAAGUCAAGCUCAGGGGCUUUCCCUUGAUCAACAAACUUCAGCCCAUAAGCCUUGCUUAUCUCGUCAACUCUGUAAUCCAGUAAAUUCAAAACCUUGGGCAAAUUCUUGUUAAGAUUCUUAAAUGGAAAUCAGGAAAGUGGGUCUCUGAGAAUCACCUUACCUGAUUUUGACUCUUCAAUCUUGAUUAGCCAGGUUUUGGUGGUCUUACAGGAGUCAGAGAUUUUGGUGAGAGGUUGGAGGGCGUAAAUGGUGGACUCUAUGAGCAAAAAGUAGCCGCUGCGGUUGGGAUUGAGAUAUGGGUUGGGGCCUAUGGCGAAAGGGAGCUUAAGAGAUGGGCAUGGAGAUGGGAUUUCGGGAGGAGGAGGGAUCGAUGACCGCCACGAGUAGCAAACGGCGCUAAAACGGAGAAUGUCGACGCUAGUAUCAAGGCAUUUGGCGAUCUUGGACAAGAGAUCGAUUCCGAGACUAGCCCACUGGGGUGAGCUUGAAUCCAUGGCGACUGAGAGUGGAGAAG